GAUCAUGGCUCAGGAUGAACGCUGGCGGCGUGCCUAAUACAUGCAAGUCGAGCGAAUGGAUUGAGAGCUUGCUCUCAAGAAGUUAGCGGCGGACGGGUGAGUAACACGUGGGUAACCUGCCCAUAAGACUGGGAUAACCCCGGGAAACCGGGGCUAAUACCGGAUAAUAUUUUGAACUGCAUGGUUCGAAAUUGAAAGGCGGCUUCGGCUGUCACUUAUGGAUGGACCCGCGUCGCAUUAGCUAGUUGGUGAGGUAACGGCUCACCAAGGCAACGAUGCGUAGCCGACCUGAGAGGGUGAUCGGCCACACUGGGACUGAGACACGGCCCAGACUCCUACGGGAGGCAGCAGUAGGGAAUCUUCCGCAAUGGACGAAAGUCUGACGGAGCAACGCCGCGUGAGUGAUGAAGGCUUUCGGGUCGUAAACUCUGUUGUUAGGGGAGAACAAGUGCUAGUUGAAUAAGCUGGCACCUUGACGGUACCUAACCAGAAAGCCACGGCUAACUACGUG
RNAcentral lists this ribosomal RNA (511 nucleotides) under uncultured bacterium. RNAcentral's name for it is "bacterial SSU rRNA". It matches the Rfam family "Bacterial small subunit ribosomal RNA", at positions 15 to 507 of the family's 1533-position model. The record is from RNAcentral.